RNAcentral lists this ribosomal RNA (596 nucleotides) under uncultured bacterium. RNAcentral describes it as "bacterial SSU rRNA". It matches the Rfam family "Bacterial small subunit ribosomal RNA", at positions 102 to 684 of the family's 1533-position model. The record is from RNAcentral.
ACGGGUGAGUAACACGUGAACAAUCUGCCCUCGAAUUUGGGAUAACGGUUCCAACGAGCCGCUAAUACCGGAUAGGUUAAUCUGAUCACCUGGUUGGAUUAAGAAAGUUGCAAUUGCAACGUUCGAGGAUGAGUUCGCGGCCCAUUAGCUAGUUGGCGGGGUAAUGGCCCACCAAGGCGACGAUGGGUAGCCGGCCUGAGAGGGUGAUCGGCCACAUUGGGACUGAGAUACGGCCCAGACUCCUACGGGAGGCAGCAGUAGGGAAUUUUGCGCAAUGGACGAAAGUCUGACGCAGCAACACCGUGUGAGGGAUGAAGCAUUUCGGUGUGUAAACCUCUGUCGAUGGUGAAUAAAGCAUGUGGGAGUGGAAAGCCCAUGUGUUGAAGGUAGCCAUGAAGGAAGCACCGGCUAACUCUGUGCCAGCAGCCGCGGUAAUACAGGGGGUGCAAGCGUUGUUCGGAAUCACUGGGCGUAAAGGGAGCGUAGGCGGAACUGCAAGACAGGGGUCAAAUCUCCGGGCUCAACCUGGAACUUGCCUUUGUGACUGCAGUUCUUGAGUAUGGUAGAGGUCAGCGGAAUUUCCGGUGUAGCGGUGG